UUUUUCUUUGAACAAAUGACAGACAAUCCCGAACUGCCAUUAUGAAAGUGGUGCUGACAAUCCUCCUGCUGACUUUGGUCGGGGCUUCUACUCAGCAAUUCCUGUGUCCUCGGAACUAUUGCGAAGGCCAUCCUUGCGUGAACCAGACUUCAUGCCCAGAACACGAAACUUUGGCACCCACCUUUUGCCGAUGCUGUUUUAGAUGUGUACCUACUAUCGGUGAGGGUGGCAGAUGUAUAAGAUUAUUCGGAGAACCACCUCGUGCUGUUUGCGAAAAGGGAUUGACGUGUUGUUCCGGAAUAUGCCGCGAGCAUUGCCCUCGUGCUGGAUAAUAUGCUAUUAAGUUAAUCUGGUUAUGCAAUACUUCGCUUGUUUUACUUUCAGCUGGUUUUAUAAGAAAGUGCCGAAAUUUUCUUUAAACAAACAACCCGCUUCAAAAAAAUUAACUACUUGUUUCUUGAGAAUAAUCGCCCAAUUCUCUAUGAUAAAACUUUUUUCUUUUUUUAACAAUAGCAAUGGCCAGGGUUCUCUUCCAUCGUAUAUACAAUAAACAUUUAUGAUUG
Cylas formicarius (sweet potato weevil) is the source of this 563-nucleotide long non-coding RNA. RefSeq lists it as uncharacterized. NCBI's taxonomy places the organism in Eukaryota, Metazoa, Arthropoda, Insecta, Coleoptera, Brentidae. The record is from RefSeq and is a predicted model, not a curated record. The transcript is spliced from 3 exons.